UGGGGAAUAUUGCACAAUGGGCGCAAGCCUGAUGCAGCCAUGCCGCGUGUGUGAAGAAGGCCUUCGGGUUGUAAAGCACUUUCAGCGAGGAGGAAGGUGGUGAGCUUAAUACGCUCAUCAAUUGACGUUACUCGCAGAAGAAGCACCGGCUAACUCCGUGCCAGCAGCCGCGGUAAUACGGAGGGUGCAAGCGUUAAUCGGAAUUACUGGGCGUAAAGCGCACGCAGGCGGUUUGUUAAGUCAGAUGUGAAAUCCCCGGGCUCAACCUGGGAACUGCAUUUGAAACUGGCAAGCUAGAGUCUCGUAGAGGGGGGUAGAAUUCCAGGUGUAGCGGUGAAAUGCGUAGAGAUCUGGAGGAAUACCGGUGGCGAAGGCGGCCCCCUGGACGAAGACUGACGCUCAGGUGCGAAAGCGUGGGGAGCAAAACAGGAUUAGAUACCCUGGUAGUCCACGCUGUAAAACGAUGUCGAUUUUGGAGGUUGUGCCCUUGAGGCGUGGNUUCCGGAGCUAACG
Molecule: ribosomal RNA, 513 nt
Filed under: uncultured bacterium
Lineage: Bacteria
Description: partial 16S ribosomal RNA
Rfam family: Bacterial small subunit ribosomal RNA
Source: RNAcentral